UCGGAUAUGGUGUAACGGCUAACAUUGCCGCCUCUCAUGCAAAGAACAGAUCUGGUCGACGUUACGCGGCAGCUCGGGGUUCGAUUCCCCGUAUCCGAA
Armillaria luteobubalina is the source of this 99-nucleotide non-coding RNA. NCBI's taxonomy places the organism in Eukaryota, Fungi, Basidiomycota, Agaricomycetes, Agaricales, Physalacriaceae. The record is from the annotation of a GenBank genome assembly.